Molecule: ribosomal RNA, 1113 nt
Filed under: human gut metagenome
Description: bacterial SSU rRNA
Rfam family: Bacterial small subunit ribosomal RNA
Source: RNAcentral
AUGGCGACCGGCGCACGGGUGAGUAACGCGUAUCCAACCUGCCCUUUACUCCGGGAUAGUCUCCUGAAAGGGAGUUUAAUACCGGAUGUGUUUGUCUUUCCGCAUGGGAGCGACAAAUAAAGAUUAAUUGGUAAAGGAUGGGGAUGCGUCCCAUUAGCUUGUUGGCGGGGUAACGGCCCACCAAGGCGACGAUGGGUAGGGGUUCUGAGAGGAAGGUCCCCCACAUUGGAACUGAGACACGGUCCAAACUCCUACGGGAGGCAGCAGUGAGGAAUAUUGGUCAAUGGGCGGGAGCCUGAACCAGCCAAGUAGCGUGAAGGACGACGGCCCUACGGGUUGUAAACUUCUUUUAUAAGGGAAUAAAGUUCGCCACGUGUGGUGUUUUGUAUGUACCUUAUGAAUAAGCAUCGGCUAAUUCCGUGCCAGCAGCCGCGGUAAUACGGAAGAUGCGAGCGUUAUCCGGAUUUAUUGGGUUUAAAGGGAGCGUAGGCGGGCUUUUAAGUCAGCGGUCAAAUGUCGUGGCUCAACCGUCAAGCCGUUGAAACUGUAAGCCUUGAGUCUGCACAGGGCACAUGGAAUUCGUGGUGUAGCGGUGAAAUGCUUAGAUAUCACGAAGAACUCCGAUCGCGAAGGCAUUGUGCCGGGGCAUAACUGACGCUGAGGCUCGAAAGUGCGGGUAUCAAACAGGAUUAGAUACCCUGGUAGUCCGCACGGUAAACGAUGAAUGCUCGCUAUGGGCGAUAUAUUGUCCGUGGCCAAGCGAAAGCGUUAAGCAUCCCACCUGGGGAGUACGCCGGCAACGGUGAAACUCAAAGGAAUUGACGGGGGCCCGCACAAGCGGAGGAACAUGUGGUUUAAUUCGAUGAUACGCGAGGAACCUUACCCGGGCUUGAAUUGCAGGUGCAUGAGUCAGAGAUGAUUCUUUCCUUCGGGACUCCUGUGAAGGUGCUGCAUGGUUGUCGUCAGCUCGUGCCGUGAGGUGUCGGCUUAAGUGCCAUAACGAGCGCAACCCUUCUCCCCAGUUGCCAUCGGGUAAUGCCGGGCCCUCUGGGGACACUGCCAUCGUAAGAUGCGAGGAAGGUGGGGAUGACGUCAAAUCAGCACGGCCCUUAC